Long non-coding RNA from Oryzias melastigma (Indian medaka), 945 nucleotides. RefSeq lists it as uncharacterized. The record is from RefSeq and is a predicted model, not a curated record. NCBI's taxonomy places the organism in Eukaryota, Metazoa, Chordata, Actinopteri, Beloniformes, Adrianichthyidae. The transcript has 2 exons.
CUUUUUUGGCUACUCUAAUGUUAGCUUUAAGCUAUGUUUUUUUGCUACACUAAUGUUAGCAUGUUAGCUAUCCUUUUUUUUGCUACACUAAUUUUAGCUUGUUAGCUUCAUAUUUUUGCUACACCACUGUUAGCUUUUUAACUGUGUUUUUAGCUAAACUAAUGUUAGCUUGUUAGCUUUUUUUGAUUGGUUUCUUUUUUUUGCUACUCUAAUGCUAGCUUUAAGCUAUGUUUUUUUGCUACACUAAUGUUAACAUGUUAGCUAUGCUUUUUUUGCUACACUAAUUUUAGCUUGUUAGCUUCAUAUUUUUGCUACACCACUGUUAGCUUUUUAACUGUGUUUUUAGCUGAACUAAUGUUAGCUUGUUAGCUCAGUUUUUUGCUACAUUUUAUUAGCUUUGUAUCUACUUUUUAGCCAUACCAUUUUUAGCUUGUUGCUAUGAUUUUUGCUACACUAAGCUUGUUAGCUAUGUUUUUUUUCACUGUUAGCUUGUUAGCUACGUUUUCUUUGCUACACUACAGUUAGCUAGUUAGCUAUGUUUUUUUGCUACAUUAAUGUUAACUUGUUAGCUUCUUUUUGCUACAAAAAUAUUGGUAUAAAUAUCAUAUUGAUGUAGUGACUAGUGAAGAAGGAAUUCGGACAUAGCCAAGGGUUGAUGGAAAAUAAGUGGAAGCUAACUGCCGUCCCAGCAAACCCCCCACAACUCAGAGAAACUGACUCAGAUGGCCUUUUGGAUUGGAGGGCCCUGGGAAAGGGAGUCAGCUGACAACGCAGGGAGGUCUGGGUGUUUUUGUGGGCUUUGGGUUGGCAAGACGCCCACUGCACAUCCAGCGAGUGACCACAGCGCAAACAAUCUACUUCUGUGGACUGGUCGAGAGGAACCUGAGAGACCAGGGAGGAAGAACACUGCUUUUUUCAAUAGAUGCAAUAAAAAGGUGAAAAAAA